AUGCAUAUUCAUCUUUGGAACUUACCUAUCUGUUUCCUGUGCUUUUCAAUUACAGUGCCCAUGAUGGCACAGUGGACAUUGACUCUCGUGGAGGAUUUCGUGCAUUUGCAUACUAGGCCUCAGCAGGAAUGUUUGACUCAUGUGCAUUUGUUGCCAAGCUUUCAUUUUGCUGGCGUUGACGACAUUAAGAGCAACUGGAAAUUUUUCGAUAAGGAAAUAUUUCUCUUUAUAAAAGAUGAGUGUGAACUAGCAACAUUCCCUCCAGGAUCAGAUAUGCAACAAGCAGCAGUAGUAGCUAUUCAGGAAGAGGACCCUUUUAAUUGGGGGUAUGACUCUGUGCUUUGGAAGGUUCCAAAAGGAAGCUAUGCAAGUGAUUUCAUCAGGAAAGAGAUGCAGACGAGAGGAAGAGAGCCUCCCCCAAGCUCUGUCUAG
This 432-nucleotide ribosomal RNA is filed under the name Triticum aestivum (bread wheat). RNAcentral's name for it is "partial small subunit ribosomal RNA". The record is from RNAcentral. Lineage: Eukaryota; Viridiplantae; Streptophyta; Magnoliopsida; Poales; Poaceae.